AGCGAACGCUGGCGGCAGGCUUAACACAUGCAAGUCGAACGCAUCCUUCGGGAUGAGUGGCAGACGGGUGAGUAACACGUGGGAACGUGCCCUCCGGUCUGGGAUAACCCUGGGAAACUAGGGUUAAUACCGGAUACGUGCUUUGGCAGAAAGGUUUACUGCCGGAGGAUCGGCCCGCGUCUGAUUAGCUAGUUGGUGGGGUAACGGCCUACCAAGGCGACGAUCAGUAGCUGGUCUGAGAGGAUGAUCAGCCACACUGGGACUGAGACACGGCCCAGACUCCUACGGGAGGCAGCAGUGGGGAAUAUUGGACAAUGGGCGCAAGCCUGAUCCAGCCAUGCCGCGUGAGUGAUGACGGCCUUAGGGUUGUAAAGCUCUUUUCUCCGGGACGAUAAUGACGGUACCGGAGGAAUAAGCCCCGGCUAACUUCGUGCCAGCAGCCGCGGUAAUACGAAGGGGGCUAGCGUUGCUCGGAAUCACUGGGCGUAAAGGGCGCGUAGGCGGCGUUUUAAGUCGGGGGUGAAAGCCUGUGGCUCAACCACAGAAUGGCCUUCGAUACUGGGACGCUUGAGUAUGG
This 577-nucleotide ribosomal RNA is filed under the name uncultured bacterium. RNAcentral describes it as "bacterial SSU rRNA". It matches the Rfam family "Bacterial small subunit ribosomal RNA", at positions 28 to 651 of the family's 1533-position model. The record is from RNAcentral.